UAUUACUCUUCUAUAUAACAAAGCAAAAAACAAACCAAAAAAGUGACAAGAUCAAAGUAUAGUACACACAUUUUACUUUCUCUUAGAAAAAAUAAAAUGGAGUUACCCAUGGGUGAAGGAUUAAGAAGCAGAUCAUCAGGUUUAAAACCAAUAGAAACAAAGAGGAAAGGGGGAAUCGAAGAGUACGAUAUGGUGACCGUGGAAGACGAGCCAUUGAGUCCAAUGGCUCGUCUUCUCCAAGAUAGGAGGUUCGAUGUCCAUGCCGUUGCGUUUAUGGCUUACAAAACUCGAAUCUCACCACAGCCUGUGAAGGAAAAGUUGGUGCAUACUUUGCUUAAGCAUCCUCGUUUCACUAGCUUGAUGGUUGUGGAUGAAGAAAAUUUAACAGACAUGAAAUGGGUCCAAACAAAGAUUGACUUGGACCAACAUAUUAUAAUUGUUGAAGUAGAUGAAACUCAGAUGGAAUCACCUGACAAGUUCGUGGAGGAUUAUAUUUACAAUCUUAGCAAAACAAGCCUCGAUAGAUCAAAGCCACUUUGGGACCUUCACAUUAUCAAUGUCAAAACUCGUCAAGCAGAGUCCGUGGUUGUGUUUAGGGUUCACCAUUCUCUUGGCGAUGGCACCUCCCUUAUUUCUCUUCUACUCGCGUGCACUCGCCAAACUGCUGAUGAUCUCAAACUUCCUACCAUUCCCACCAAGAAAAGGAGGCCUACUCCAUCAGGUUAUUCAGCAAAGGAAGGGUUGUGGCGAUUGUUGGGAAAAUUUUGGCUUUUCAUAGUAAUGUUUGUGAAUACUGCAGUGGAUGUUUUCAUGUUCAUCAUCACAACCAUGUUCCUCAAGGAUACCAAAACACCAAUCAGCGCCCCGCCUGAUUUCGAGUCUAAUAAAGCUAGACGAAUCGUUCAUCGGAUAAUCAGUCUGGAUGAUUUGAAGUUUGUGAAAAAUGCUAUGAAUGUUACUAUAAAUGAUGUUGCCCUAGGAUUUAACACAAGCUGGUUUAUCUCAAUAUCUUAAUAGGAGAUAUGCUAUUGGUGGAAAAGACAAGGGAGCAACAGAGAGAAGCAAUAAUCUUCCCAAUGGCAUUCGACUUCGGUCUUUUCUUUGUUUUAACCUAAGAUCCUCUGCAGGAAUUGAAGAUCUAGCCAAUAUGAUGGAGAAUGGAAGCAAAGGGAAGCGGGGUUGGGGAAAUUGGUUUGGUUACGCGUUGUUACCAUUCAAGAUUGCACUACGAGAUAAUCCUUUAGACUAUGUGAAAGAAGCUAAAGCGACAGUUGAUCGCAAGAAGCGAUCCUUUGAAGCUUUGUCCACUUUGAUCAUGGCCGAAUUACUUAUCAAGUUUUUUGGGAUCAAGGUAGCUACAGAGGUGACUUGGAAAGGAUUCUCAAAUUCAACAAUAUGUUUCAGCAACUUGGUUGGACCACAAGAGGAAAUUGGGUUCUGUGGCUACCCCAUUACUUAUUUUGCUCCAUGUACUUAUGGGCAGCCAAGUGCAUUGAUGAUCAAUUUCCAAAGCUAUAUCAAUAAGAUGAUCAUCGUCAUAGCUGUUGAUGAAAUUGCUAUACCUGAUCCACAUCAAUUGCUUGAUGAUUUUGAAGAUUCUCUUAAUCUCAUAAAGAAUGCUGUCAUAGAAAAAGGGCUUGUUAAGAAUCUGAAAUGAUCAAGAAAUCCAACCAAAUUAUGAAGCUAAGGUUGUAUUAGUAACUCUACUAUAUUAAGAACUUUUUCCAAUAAUUCACCAGCACUUGUGUACUGCUGCAGUAAUUCUCUUUCCUAAUGCUUUCAACUUGAUAUUGAAGGACAUGGUACUUUGUAGACUACAUUUUAAUUAAUGGUAUUCAUAUCAAUGUAUUACAAUUUAUGG
Molecule: RNA transcript, 1861 nt
Organism: Solanum tuberosum (potato)
Lineage: Eukaryota; Viridiplantae; Streptophyta; Magnoliopsida; Solanales; Solanaceae
Gene name: O-acyltransferase WSD1-like
Exons: 8
Source: RefSeq, a predicted model, not a curated record